AUGAACGCUAGCUACAGGCUUAACACAUGCAAGUCGAGGGGCAGCAUGGUCUUAGCUUGCUAAGGCCGAUGGCGACCGGCGCACGGGUGAGUAACACGUAUCCAACCUGCCGUCUACUCUUGGACAGCCUUCUGAAAGGAAGAUUAAUACAAGAUGGCAUCAUGAGUCCGCAUGUUCACAUGAUUAAAGGUAUUCCGGUAGACGAUGGGGAUGCGUUCCAUUAGAUAGUAGGCGGGGUAACGGCCCACCUAGUCUUCGAUGGAUAGGGGGUUCUGAGAGGAAGGUCCCCCACAUUGGAACUGAGACACGGUCCAAACUCCUACGGGAGGCAGCAGUGAGGAAUAUUGGUCAAUGGGCGAGAGCCUGAACCAGCCAAGUAGCGUGAAGGAUGACUGCCCUAUGGGUUGUAAACUUCUUUUAUAAAGGAAUAAAGUCGGGUAUGGAUACCCGUUUGCAUGUACUUUAUGAAUAAGGAUCGGCUAACUCCGUG
This 490-nucleotide ribosomal RNA is filed under the name uncultured bacterium. RNAcentral's name for it is "bacterial SSU rRNA". It matches the Rfam family "Bacterial small subunit ribosomal RNA", at positions 29 to 507 of the family's 1533-position model. The record is from RNAcentral.